Molecule: ribosomal RNA, 646 nt
Filed under: uncultured bacterium
Lineage: Bacteria
Description: bacterial SSU rRNA
Rfam family: Bacterial small subunit ribosomal RNA
Source: RNAcentral
AAUCAACGCUGGCGGCGCGCUUAACACAUGCAAGUCGAACGAGAAAGGGAGCAAUCCUGAGUAAAGUGGCGCACGGGUGAGUAACACGUGGGUAAUCUGCCUCUGGGUGGGGAAUAACUCUGGGAAACCGGAGCUAAUACCGCAUAAGCCCGCAAGGGGAAAGGCGAAAGUCGCCGAGAGAGGAGCCCGCGGCUGAUUAGCUUGCUGGUGGGGUAACGGCCUACCAGGGCAUCGAUCAGUAGCCGGCCUGAGAGGGCACACGGCCACACUGGCACUGAAACACGGGCCAGACUCCUACGGGAGGCAGCAGUGGGGAAUCUUGCACAAUGGGGGAAACCCUGAUGCAGCGACGCCGCGUGAGCGAUGAAGCCUCGGGGUGAUAACGCUUCGUUGCGGCGAGGGACGAUGGUCGACGGUACCUGCAGAGAAGCUGCGGCUAACUACGUGCCAGCAGCCGCGGUAAUACGUAGGCAGCGAGCGUUGUUCGGAGUUACUGGGCGUAAAAGCGUGCGUGGCGGUAGUCCAAGUCUGGUGUGAAAAUCUCCCGGCUUAACCGGGAGGGUGCGCCGGAAAACUGGGCUGCUGGAGUGCGGGAGAGGCAAGCGGAAUUCCUGGUGUAGCGGUGAAAUGCGUAGAUAUCAGGAGG